AUACGUAGGGGGCGAGCGUUAUCCGGAUUUAUUGGGUUUAAAGGGUGCGUAGGCGGAUGAUUAAGCGUGAGGUGAAAUGCCACUGCUCAACAGUGGAACUGCCUCGCGAACUGGUUGUCUUGAAUGCUCCUGCCGUGGGAGGAAUGUGUGGUGUAGCGGUGAAAUGCAUAGAGAUCACACAGAACACCGAUUGCGAAGGCAUCUCACGAAGGGGUGAUUGACGCUGAGGCACAAAAGCGUGGGGAUCAAACAGGAUUAGAUACCCUGGUAGUCCACGCAGUAAACGAUGAUAACUAACCGCUGGGUCGUAGUGAUUCAGUGGCCAAGCGAAAGCGAUAAGUUAUCCACCUGGGGAGUACGACCGCAAGGUUGAAACUCAAAUGAAUUGGCGGGG
This 394-nucleotide ribosomal RNA is filed under the name uncultured bacterium. RNAcentral's name for it is "partial 16S ribosomal RNA". It matches the Rfam family "Bacterial small subunit ribosomal RNA", at positions 523 to 918 of the family's 1533-position model. The record is from RNAcentral.